RNAcentral lists this long non-coding RNA (578 nucleotides) under Vitis vinifera (wine grape). RNAcentral's name for it is "long non-coding RNA (VVIN_LNC001832)". The record is from RNAcentral. Lineage: Eukaryota; Viridiplantae; Streptophyta; Magnoliopsida; Vitales; Vitaceae.
AGCAAUUCUGUCUCAUCUUCAGUGUCACUUCAAGGGUUUGAGCUUUGUGAUGAUGCAACAACUCCUUUUGUUAACAUGGCGGAGCAAAUACCUCCUGAACAUGAUAGAGGUACUCGCACUGAAAACUUAGAAUCAUGUCCACCCACCUGCUCUCUUGUGUCAGAUGAAAGCCAUGGGCAAGAUAACAAAUCUGUACAAUGCUCGGUUGACAGCUCUGGUUUUGUUCAAGAUCCUGAGGAUAUUACUAUUGGUGGUGAGAAAGUGAGUUCAGGUGCAGUUACAGAGCACCCAUCUCCAGUCUCCAGAGAAGUAUUUGCUUGUAAUGAUGACACCUCUUUGGGCAGGUCUAUUAGGCCAGAAACAGUGACAGAGUCCAUCCUUACUUCUUCAUCCAGUGGUGAUGACAAGUUUACUGUAAGAGAACUUUUGUCAUCACUAGCAGACGCCAGUGCCCCUCCCAGUGCCCCUCCCAGUGCCACUCCCACUGUCCCUUCCACUGCCACUGCCACUCCCACUGUCCCUUCCACUGCCACUCCCACUGCCACUCCCCCUGCCCCUCCUACUCCCUCCAUCUUGUC